This 425-nucleotide ribosomal RNA is filed under the name uncultured bacterium. RNAcentral's name for it is "partial 16S ribosomal RNA". It matches the Rfam family "Bacterial small subunit ribosomal RNA", at positions 354 to 796 of the family's 1533-position model. The record is from RNAcentral.
GUGGGGAAUAUUGGACAAUGGGCGCAAGCCUGAUCCAGCCAUGCCGCGUGAGUGAUGAAGGCCCUAGUGUUGUAAAGCUCUUUCACCGGUGAAGAUAAUGACGGUAACCGGAGAAGAAGCCCCGGCUAACUUCGUGCCAGCAGCCGCGGUAAUACGAAGGGGGCUAGCGUUGUUCGGAAUUACUGGGCGUAAAGCGCACGUAGGUGGACAUUUAAGUCAGGGGUGAAAUCCCAGAGCUCAACUCUGGAACUGCCUUUGAUACUGGGUGUCUUGAGUAUGGAAGAGGUAAGUGGAAUUCCGAGUGUAGAGGUGAAAUUCGUAGAUAUUCGGAGGAACACCAGUGGCGAAGGCGGCUUACUGGUCCAUUACUGACGCUGAGGUGCGAAAGCGUGGGGAGCAAACAGGAUUAGAUACCCCUGUAGUCC